This 465-nucleotide ribosomal RNA is filed under the name uncultured bacterium. RNAcentral describes it as "partial 16S ribosomal RNA". It matches the Rfam family "Bacterial small subunit ribosomal RNA", at positions 28 to 507 of the family's 1533-position model. The record is from RNAcentral.
GACGAACGCUGGCGGCGUGCUUAACACAUGCAAGUCGAACGGAAAGGCCCCUUUGGGGGUACUCGAGUGGCGAACGGGUGCGUAACACGUGAGUAACCUGCCCCUGACUUUGGGAUAACUUCAGGAAAUUGGGGCUAAUACCGGUUAGGCAUCCUUGCUGCAUGGUGGGGGUUGGAAAGCUUCGGCGGUAUUGGAUGGACUCGCGGCUUAUCGGCUUGUUGGUGGGGUAGUUGCUUACCAAGGCUUUGACGGGUAGCCGGCCUGAGAGGGCGACCGGCCACAUUGGGACUGAGAGACGGCCCAGACUCCUACGGGAGGCAGCAGUGGGGAAUAUUGCACAAUGGGCGGAAGCGUGAGGCAGCAACGCCGCGUGCGGGAUGACGGGCUUCGGGUUGAAAACCGCGUUCAGCAGGGGCGAAGCUUGUGGUGACGGUACCUGCAGAAGAAGCACCGGCUAACUACGUG